RNAcentral lists this ribosomal RNA (1376 nucleotides) under Protolitonotus longus. RNAcentral's name for it is "eukaryotic LSU rRNA". It matches the Rfam family "Eukaryotic large subunit ribosomal RNA", at positions 159 to 1753 of the family's 3401-position model. Lineage: Eukaryota; Ciliophora; Litostomatea; Pleurostomatida; Protolitonotidae. The record is from RNAcentral.
UCAGCUCGCUAAAUACACAAUUACUCACUACCUGAAAUGUAGGGCCAUAGAGGGUGUAAGCCCCGUAGUAAAUUGUUGAGUAGGGGAACUCCCAAAGAGUCGGGUUGUUGGAAUUGCAACCCUAAGUGGGAGAUAUGAUCUUCCAAAGCUAAAUAUGGAUGGGAGACCGAUAGCGAACAAGUACUGUGAAGGAAAGAUGAAAAGGACUUUGAAAAGAGAGUGAAAAGAUCAAAUCGUUGAGGAGGAAGCGGUAAAAACUGAAAUAAUGAAAGUGCACGCUGUAAAAGAUUUCGGGCAAAAUCAAGUUGAGUGUGGCUAAGUCAUACUUAGCUUGAGGGAUUAAUGAUUUUGCCAAAAUGGUUUUUACCGUCGUCUUGAAACACGGACCAAGGAGUCUAACAUAUAUGCGAGUGUGCGAGUGAAAAACUCAUACGCGAAAUGAAAGUAAAAGAUGCUCUGUCAGCAUCGACCAGUAUGAGGGUUUGAGUAUGAGCAUAUCUGUUAGACCCGAAAGAUGGUGAACUAUUCCUGAGUAGAGCGAAGCAGGGGAAACCCUGAUCUCGUAGCCGUCCUAACGUGCAAAUUGGUGGUCAAACUUGGGUAUAGGGCGAAAGACUAAUCGAACCAUCUAGUAGCUGGUUCCCUCCGAAGUUUCCCUCAGGAUAGCUGGAACAGCAGUUUUAUCAGGUAAAGCGAAUGAUUAGAGGCAUCAGGGAGCUUUUUUCUGACCUAUUCUCAAACUCUAAAUGGUAAGAACUUUUUUAUCUUAACUGAACAUCAGACAGAUGCGGUUCCAAGUGGGCCAUUUUUGGUAAGCAGAACUGGCGAUGAGGGAUGAACCUAACGUCGAGUUAAGGUGCCAAACUAUACGCUCAUCAGAUACCACAAAAGGUGUUGAUCAUCUAAACAGCAGGGCGGUGGACAUAAAAGUCGUUACCCGCUAAGGAGUGUGUCAUGACUCACUGCCGAAUGAAUUAGCCCUGAAAAUGGAUGGCGCUAGUAUGACGAUACUCGACCAUCAAUACAAAAGAUAUUGAUGAGUAGGGGGCGUGGAUGUUAAAGCUUUUGGCGUGAGCCUGGGUAGAACGACAUCUAGUGCAGAUCUUGGUAGUAGCAAAUAGCCAAUUGGAAACGUUGGGGCCGAAGUGGAGAAGGGUUCAGAACAGUAAUUGGUCAGGGGUUACUCGGUCCUAAGAUCCUGGUUAACCCGUAUAAGGUGCUCUCCAGCACAGAAAGGGUCAGGUUGAAAUUCCUGAACUAAGUAGGAUGGCAACACAAACUAGCUCAGAGACGUCAGCACGGCUCCUGGAAGAGUUUUCUUUUCUUCUUAACAAGAAAUGGCCUUGAAAUUGGUUUACCCAGAGAGAGGCUAUAAG